CAUAACCGCAUCAGGUCUCCAA
RNAcentral lists this non-coding RNA (22 nucleotides) under Arabidopsis thaliana (thale cress). The record is from RNAcentral. Lineage: Eukaryota; Viridiplantae; Streptophyta; Magnoliopsida; Brassicales; Brassicaceae.